This 394-nucleotide ribosomal RNA is filed under the name uncultured bacterium. Its description in RNAcentral is "partial 16S ribosomal RNA". It matches the Rfam family "Bacterial small subunit ribosomal RNA", at positions 338 to 729 of the family's 1533-position model. The record is from RNAcentral.
CCUACGGGAGGCUGCAGUGAGGAAUAUUGGUCAAUGGACGGAAGUCUGAACCAGCCAUGCCGCGUGCAGGAAGACGGCCCUAUGAGUUGUAAACUGCUUUUGUACAAGGGUAAACCUGCAUACGUGUAUUCAUCUGAAUGUACUGUACGAAUAAGGAUCGGCUAACUCCGUGCCAGCAGCCGCGGUAAUACGGAGGAUCCAAGCGUUAUCCGGAUUUAUUGGGUUUAAAGGGUGCGUAGGCGGAUUGAUAAGUUUGCGGUGAAAUGUCCGGGCUUAACUCGGGAAUUGCCUCUAAAACUGGUGGUCUAGAGAGUGGGUAAGGUAGGCGGAAUGUGUGGUGUAGCGGUGAAAUGCUUAGAGAUCAUGCAGAACACCGAUUGCGAAGGCAGCUUAC